RNAcentral lists this ribosomal RNA (267 nucleotides) under Lolium canariense. Its description in RNAcentral is "5.8S ribosomal RNA". The stretch from base 1 to 100 matches the Rfam family "5.8S ribosomal RNA", at positions 48 to 154 of the family's 154-position model. Lineage: Eukaryota; Viridiplantae; Streptophyta; Magnoliopsida; Poales; Poaceae. The record is from RNAcentral.
GCGAAAUGCGAUACCUGGUGUGAAUUGCAGAAUCCCGCGAACCAUCGAGUCUUUGAACGCCCGAGGCCUCUUGGCCGAGGGCACGCCUGCCUGGGCGUCACGCCAAACACGCUCCCACCUGGGGCGGGACGCGGCAUGUGGCUCCUCGUCCUGCAAGGGGCGGUGGGCCAAAGAUCGCCUAUCGUGCCGGACACAGCGCGUGGUAGGCGACCUCGCUUUACUAAACGCAGUGCCUAGCCGACGCGAUGGCCCCAAUGGACCCUUUUA